CUCCUGGUCUGCGGAUUGCGAAGACCAUGGGGAAAGCACAGUAUCUGAGCCAGAGUGCAUGCUUCCUCACGGGACAGUCCCUCACGGCUUCCCUUGGGUAGGGCAGGGAAUUCCCCGACCUCUUGCCCUUCUCAGGUGAGGCAACGCCCCACCCUGCUUUGGCUCAUCCUCUGUGGGCUGUACCUACUGUCCAACCAGUCCCAAUGAGAUGAACUGGGUACCUCAGUUGGAGAUGGAGAAAUCACCCACCUUCUGCGUCGAUCUCGCUGAGAGCUGCAGACCAGAGCUGUUCGUAUUCGAUCAUCUUACCAGCAAAUUCAGGACCAUUUUUAUUUAACAAGACAAUAAAGAAACCAUGCUCAAGCUAGCAUUUAGCCAGAGGCAGAGAGUACCCAGCACAUUUAGUGCUGGCUGUUUAGAAUACAGAGGACAAUAGACAACUGAUUGAGGUAGUUUCUCGUGUCAAAUCAGUGUAAUCUUGAGCAAGUUCCUUCCCUUCCCUGGGCCUCUGCUUCCUGAUCUUCAAAGCAGGAGAGUUGGAUGAAACACUUUCUGUGUGUCUUGCAGUGUUGACACUUGUCAUUGCUGUGACUUUACUGUGAAGACAUCUCAUUGUUUAGUGGAGGAAGCCAAGUGCCCUCCUGCCACCCCAUGGGGAAACACAGCCACCAGAAAGAGGAGGGAGAGGUGGUGUCUGGGGAGAUGGAGGAGUCUGACUGCAGAGUUAGCCCUGGGGUGACUAUAGGAUUAACACGAGGCUCUCCAGUAAGGGCUCAUUACCCCUUGAUGAAACUCAAAUGUCAUCAUGGGCACUCUGUUCUUACAGGAUGGUAGCUCUUGGAAUCUCAGAAGUUGGUAGAGUGGAUAUCUGGCUUUGGAAGGAGAAGGUCCUUUCUCCUUAGGGGAGACAGCCAUGCACAUGAUCCGUAGAACACGGAGGGUCCAGAGAUCUGAGAACUAAAGUUUAUGCUUUGCAAACUGUAACAGUGUGAUAAAUAUGAAUUAUUAUCAACAUGAUUCUUGCUAUUAUUAAAUCCUCACACUGCAAUGUUAACUGGUUCAUGUUUCAGCCCCAGCUCAGCCACUAGUUGGCUGUGUGAUCUCAGACAAGCCAAGCUCCAUCUCUGAGAUAUAGCUGCUUCAUUUGCAAAGUAAGAAGGUAGACGUGCAUGAUCAGCUGAAGAUGCUUCCUGCCUCAAUCCAGUAAGUGUGAUCAAGAUGUUGAAAUUAGUGGUUGAACAAUCAGUAAUCAGAAGCUCACCUUUCAAAAAGAAAAAGGCCAGCUGGAAAAUGACAUAAUUAAAAGAGGAAAAGAAAACUCUUUCUCAAGAGGCUGCUCUUUCACAAACAGUCAGCAUGUCUGUGAUAUUCCGUGUAGCAUAUUCCGAUGACAGGGAAACACAGUGGAUGUGCUGAAAGAUGAGCAGCAAGUGGUAAGUGGAGGUGUUUGAAAUAGAAAAGUCUAUUUUAAAAGACGACUAAUAAAGCUGGAGGAGGCGGCCCACACUGAAGCAGUCUGAGCCAACAUCCUGUUGCCAAGACUCCAGUCCCCGCUGCUGUGCCCGGGGCCCUGGGACUGUCCUUGGCACAGCAUGUGAGCCAGUAGGAAGGAGCAGAGGCUAGAAGCAGGGGCUGGGUUUCUGUCUGAGGAAAGGGGCCCAUGGAGAGGGGCCCCAGGGAAGGGGCUGCCUGUGGCUUUGGCAGAGGAGACCCCUGCCCUUCCUGUGACCCCAGCCAGCUCCAGGCAUGGUAGGGGGAUGGGUACAUUUCUCUAGGCGCAUGCAGGAGCUGCACCGGUGCUGGGAAGAAGCAACAACACAACAGUUAAGAGCGGAGACCUAGAGCCAGACCGAGUUUGAAUCCCGGCUUGUAUCACUUAAUAGCUGUGAGACUGUAAACAAGUUACUUAACCUCUCUGUCUGUCAUCUUUUCUUGUCUAUAAAACUUAAUAAUAUUAGCUAAUCAUAGGGUUGCAGCAAGGAUGUAAGUUAAUUUUGUAAAGGAUUUGGGACAGGGCAAACAGUACACUAGAGAUUGUGUGUAUUUUAUAUACAUAUAAAAUAUCUUAUGUUUAUUAUAUAUAAUAUAGCUAUUAUAUAUUACAUAUGUAAUACAUAUAUAAUAUAGACAUUAUAUAUAUGUAUUAUAUAUAUAAUAGAGGGAUAUAUAUGUAUACAUAGAUGCAUAAAAUGUGGCCUAUGAGUUGGGCCCACCCGUUUCUUGGGCAGAGGUCCAAGGCUAAUCAGUGCCCUUGGUCUUCAAGUAAAUAAUGAAGCUCUGAAAGCUAAUCUAUGCUAACACCCUCAAGGUCCCGGUAACCCCUCUCUGGUCUCCUCUGAGCAUUAGGCCAGAUCUGCAGGAGGAGAUGCUCAGGCAGCCCCAAGCCACAGCUUAGGACUGACCAGACUUCUCCCUGAGCUCCAGGCCCAUAUACCCAACUGCCCAGUGAAUGUUUCUACUGGGAUAUCCACAGACAUCUCUACUCAUCAUGCUCCCAAACCUACUCAUGACCCAAUUCCUUCCAGUGCAGACCUUUCCUUGUUUCCAGUCUCAGUGAAUGACAAUACCUGUGGGGAAAAGCAAGAGAGAUCAGAUUGUUACUGUG
Molecule: long non-coding RNA, 2605 nt
Filed under: Homo sapiens (human)
Lineage: Eukaryota; Metazoa; Chordata; Mammalia; Primates; Hominidae
Description: HSALNT0267425
Source: RNAcentral